GCUAAUCUGCGAUAAGCGUCGGUAAGGUGAUAUGAACCGUUAUAACCGGCGAUUUCCGAAUGGGGAAACCCAGUGUGAUUCGUCACACUAUCAUUAACUGAAUCCAUAGGUUAAUGAGGCGAACCGGGGGAACUGAAACAUCUAAGUACCCCGAGGAAAAGAAAUCAACCGAGAUUCCCCCAGUAGCGGCGAGCGAACGGGGAGGAGCCCAGAGCCUGAAUCAGUGUGUGUGUUAGUGGAAGCGUCUGGAAAGGCGCGCGAUACAGGGUGACAGCCCCGUACACAAAAAUACACAUAUUGUGAGCUCGAUGAGUAGGGCGGGACACGUGGUAUCCUGUCUGAAUAUGGGGGGACCAUCCUCCAAGGCUAAAUACUCCUGACUGACCGAUAGUGAACCAGUACCGUGAGGGAAAGGCGAAAAGAACCCCGG
This 430-nucleotide ribosomal RNA is filed under the name Shigella sonnei. Its description in RNAcentral is "partial 23S ribosomal RNA". It matches the Rfam family "Bacterial large subunit ribosomal RNA", at positions 60 to 529 of the family's 2925-position model. The record is from RNAcentral. Lineage: Bacteria; Pseudomonadati; Pseudomonadota; Gammaproteobacteria; Enterobacterales; Enterobacteriaceae.